UAGUAACGGCGAGUGAAGCGGCAACAGCUCAAAUUUGAAAUCUGGCUCCUUUGGAGUCCGAGUUGUAAUUUGUAGAGGGCGCUUUGGCAAAGGCUAUGGCCUAAGUUCCUUGGAACAGGACGUCACAGAGGGUGAGAACCCCGUACGUGGUCGCUAGUCUGAGCCGUGUAAAGCCCCUUCGACGAGUCGAGUUGUUUGGGAAUGCAGCUCUAAAUGGGAGGUAAAUUUCUUCUAAAGCUAAAUAUUGGCCAGAGACCGAUAGCGCACAAGUAGAGUGAUCGAAAGAUGAAAAGCACUUUGGAAAGAGAGUCAAAAAGCACGUGAAAUUGUUGAAAGGGAAGCGCUUGCAGUCAGAUCUGUGGUAAGUGUAUGGUAGGGCUUUUGCCCUGCCUUCCUCUCACCACGGGCCAGCAUCAGUUUAGGCGGCUGGAUAAAGAUCAGGGGAAUGUAGCUCUCUUCGGGGAGUGUUAUAGCCCUUGGUGUCAUGCAGCCAGCUUGGACUGAGGUUCGCGCAUCUGCUAGGAUGCUGGCAUAAUGGCUGUAAGCGGCCCGUCUUGAAACACGGACCAAGGAGUCUAACAUCUAUGCGAGUGUUUGGGUGUCAAGCCCGGGCGCGUAAUGAAAGUGAACGGAGGUGGGAACCCUCCGGGGUGCACCAUCGACCGAUCCUGAUGUCUUCGGAUGGAUUUGAGUAAGAGCAUAGCUGUUGGGACCCGAAAGAUGGUGAACUAUGCCUGAAUAGGGUGAAGCCAGAGGAAACUCUGGUGGAGGCUCGCAGCGGUUCUGACGUGCAAAUCGAUCGUCAAAUUUGGGCA
This 815-nucleotide ribosomal RNA is filed under the name Hypsostroma thailandicum. RNAcentral's name for it is "Hypsostroma sp. JYZ-2021a partial large subunit ribosomal RNA". It matches the Rfam family "Eukaryotic large subunit ribosomal RNA", at positions 81 to 917 of the family's 3401-position model. Lineage: Eukaryota; Fungi; Ascomycota; Dothideomycetes; Pleosporales; Hypsostromataceae. The record is from RNAcentral.